AAGAUGCUAGUAUAAUAUAUUACCCUGCCUUGUCAAGGCAAAAUUGCAGGUUAAAAUCCUGCGCAUCUUA
Molecule: transfer RNA, 70 nt
Filed under: Proterorhinus semilunaris (tubenose goby)
Lineage: Eukaryota; Metazoa; Chordata; Actinopteri; Gobiiformes; Gobiidae
Description: tRNA-Asp
Rfam family: tRNA
About the family: Transfer RNA (tRNA) molecules are approximately 80 nucleotides in length. Their secondary structure includes four short double-helical elements and three loops (D, anti-codon, and T loops). Further hydrogen bonds mediate the characteristic L-shaped molecular structure. tRNAs have two regions of fundamental functional importance: the anti-codon, which is responsible for specific mRNA codon recognition, and the 3' end, to which the tRNAs corresponding amino acid is attached (by aminoacyl-tRNA synthetases). tRNAs cope with the degeneracy of the genetic code in two manners: having more than one tRNA (with a specific anti-codon) for a particular amino acid; and 'wobble' base-pairing, i.e. permitting non-standard base-pairing at the 3rd anti-codon position.
Source: RNAcentral